This 464-nucleotide ribosomal RNA is filed under the name Vreelandella stevensii. RNAcentral describes it as "partial 16S ribosomal RNA". It matches the Rfam family "Bacterial small subunit ribosomal RNA", at positions 338 to 795 of the family's 1533-position model. Lineage: Bacteria; Pseudomonadati; Pseudomonadota; Gammaproteobacteria; Oceanospirillales; Halomonadaceae. The record is from RNAcentral.
CCUACGGGCGGCUGCAGUGGGGAAUAUUGGACAAUGGGCGAAAGCCUGAUCCAGCCAUGCCGCGUGUGUGAAGAAGGCCUUCGGGUUGUAAAGCACUUUCAGUGGGGAAGAAAGCCUUGGGGCUAAUACCCUCGAGGAAGGACAUCACCCACAGAAGAAGCACCGGCUAACUCCGUGCCAGCAGCCGCGGUAAUACGGAGGGUGCGAGCGUUAAUCGGAAUUACUGGGCGUAAAGCGCGCGUAGGCGGUCUGAUAAGCCGGUUGUGAAAGCCCCGGGCUCAACCUGGGAACGGCAUCCGGAACUGUCAGGCUAGAGUGCAGGAGAGGAAGGUAGAAUUCCCGGUGUAGCGGUGAAAUGCGUAGAGAUCGGGAGGAAUACCAGUGGCGAAGGCGGCCUUCUGGACUGACACUGACGCUGAGGUGUGAAAGCGUGGGUAGCAAACAGGAUUAGAUACCCUGUAGUC